ACUGUGAAAGUACUAUUUACUCUACAAUGGUGAGGAGUCCUCAUCAAAAUCAAAAAAUCUAAUUUCUUUUACAGGACCCAGAUGCUAUACAGUGGGAAAACCAGCCUGGCAACAGUGCGUAUUAAUAAAAGGACACCACAUCCUGCCAAAUUCCAGCUGCGCUAAUUGUAUUGUGUUCACAGAGCUCACAAGCUAUCAGAAAGUUGUAUGGCAACCACCUCCGGCGCCAAAUAGAACUGGCAGACAUAGACAUUCAGUACAAGAAGAAAAAGAUGGAAAAUCUUGCACUGGAGUCCGAAAUAAAAAAGAGGACAAUUAGGAAACUGGACCUUGAAAUAAAAAAACUUGAGAGGGAGCUCCAAGAAGAUGACACAGCUCAAAAUAAAAAUUAGGUAUAUUCUCGUAAAGUCAAGUGAGCCAUGACAUAUGAGCUCUUAUUGUGAGCACACAGGACGGUGGCAUCUUUCUAAGGUUUUUUUUAUUUUCCCAGCAAUCAGUACAACCAAGUCAUCGUUAUAAGGCAUCGCCCUCUUUUGCCCACCCCCCCAGCACCAGGUGUGGCCACUAGCCUAUAUGAAGGCCCAAAAUUGUGUGUUCCUUUCUGCUCUGACAAUGGCAUGCCCAUUCGUGCGAGAUGUGGUGGAUGAAGAAGCACUUGUGCUGAGGAGAGCCUUCAGGCGAGAAAGGGUCUUCAGGGACCGGUUGGACCCACUGGCCUUCCCUGAUGACCAUCUAUAUGAAAGAUACAGGUUUUCUGCAGAUGGCAUCAGGUAUCUAUGCAGACUACUGGGUCCCAGGAUUAAGCACCGCACUGCACGGAGCCAUGCACUGAGUGUGGAGCAAAUGGUUUGUGUGGCCUUGCGCUUUUUUGCUAGUGGAGCCUUCCUGUACUCAGUGGGGGAUGCAGAACAGCUGAACAAGGCCACAAUUUGCCGCACAAUAAGGAGUGCGUGUCUGGCUAUCAAAGCAUUAGCAGAUGUCUUCAUCUCCUUCCCUGGCCACAGAAGACUCUGUGACAUCAAAGAGGAGUUCUAUAGGAUUGCAGGUAAGAGGAUCUACAAAUUACAGGACAACUGUUAACACAUAGUAGGAUACUCAUUACUUUGUGUGACAGGUUUCCCCAAUGUCAUUGGUGCAGUGGACUGCACACACAUAAGGUUAAAAGCCCCCUCAGGUGCCCAUGAGGCCGAUUUUGUGAAUAGGAAAUCCUUUCACAGCAUUAAUGUUCAGGUGAACAUAACUUUUUGAUAUUGUCCAUUGACGAACACUCUGCAUUGCCAGUGAUGUGCAUUGAUUGGUGUAAUAUUCCUCAUCUUAUGAUUUCAGAUGGUCUGCAAUGCUGACUGUGUGAUCAGCAAUGUUGUGGCAAAAUGGCCUGGCUCAGUCCAUGACUCCAGAAUCUUUCGGGCCUCUGAAAUCUAUCAGUGCCUAUCACAAGGUGAAUUCUCUGGUGUGUUGCUGGGAGACAGGGGGUAUGGCUGCCAGCCUUUUCUCCUGACACCUUUCACAGACCCCCAGGAAGCACAGCAGGCCUACAACCAUGCCCAUGCCAGGACCAGGGCCAGAGUUGAAAUGACCUUUGGCCUCCUGAAGGCACGCUUUCACUGCCUUCACAAAUUAAGGGUCAGCCCUGUUAGGGCAUGUGAUAUUACUGUGGCUUGUGCUGUCCUCCACAAUGUGGCCUGCCUGAGGAAGGAGAGGGCCCCCAGAGUGCCACCAGCCAUGGACUGGGACAAUCCGGCAAUCUUCCCUGAUGACGACAGUGGUCGGCUGCUGAGGGACCAAUAUGUGUUGAAUUAUUUUAGUUAGUAUGUGUGCUUUCAAUUUUGGUUAAAUAUGUCCUGCGGUGGCAGAGGAAUUUGGGUUUUUUUGGGUUCGUUUUUUUACGAAUUUGGCCUCUUAUGAUGUUUGUGCGGUAUACUGUGUGUAAUACAAGGCUGCAGGGAGGCUACUGCAUCCAUUCAUUUGUCUGUUCAGUUGAUGUGUAUGGAUUUGUCCUGCAUUUAUUUUAGUGUGCAGACAUGCAGGGUGUGUUAUAUACAGACCUUUGAAUGUGUAUGUAUCAUUUUGUAUAAUAUGCUUGGAUUCUGUGCUUUCCAUCUUGUAGAGUCACUGUGACUUCAGUUUCGAAAGGAGCUGAUGGUUUACCUGCUUUGUUUUGUCCUUAUUCAAUAAAGGAACAUAAUGUUACACAUUGUGUUUUUAUAUUCA
Long non-coding RNA from Salvelinus fontinalis (brook trout), 2211 nucleotides. RefSeq lists it as uncharacterized. The record is from RefSeq and is a predicted model, not a curated record. The transcript has 3 exons. NCBI's taxonomy places the organism in Eukaryota, Metazoa, Chordata, Actinopteri, Salmoniformes, Salmonidae.